This is a long non-coding RNA of Gavialis gangeticus (Gharial), 95 nucleotides long. RefSeq lists it as uncharacterized. The transcript is spliced from 3 exons. The record is from RefSeq and is a predicted model, not a curated record. NCBI's taxonomy places the organism in Eukaryota, Metazoa, Chordata, Crocodylia, Gavialidae.
UUUAAUUCAGGGGCGGGUAAUUGUUUUGGGUGGAGGACCACUUACUGAGUUUUGGCAAACUGUCGAGGGCUGCAUGGCAGGCAGCUGGGGCCAGC